Long non-coding RNA from Aethina tumida (small hive beetle), 714 nucleotides. RefSeq lists it as uncharacterized. The record is from RefSeq and is a predicted model, not a curated record. The transcript is spliced from 2 exons. Lineage: Eukaryota; Metazoa; Arthropoda; Insecta; Coleoptera; Nitidulidae.
AUUUAAUAUUAAUUAAUUGUGGUUGUUCAUAACAUUUAUUGCUCCUCGUUUAUUGUUGCUAUAGAAAUACAGUUUAUUCACUUCUAUUUAUAUUUGAGUGACAUUACACAAUUUAUACCUUAAAGCAAAUUGGAAAUGGUGAAAGAUUCAUAUAAUUAAAGCAAUGAAGGGUAAUAAGCAACAUAAUGAUUCGUUUUUCCAAAUCAACUAUAGAAAGAUUACACCAUGGACAAGUACAAAUUACUUUACAGAAAUGUUUAGUAAUGCCAAAUUGGCAGCUGAUGAAAUCAUAAUUAGUCGCACUAAUUAUGUAUCCGACAUAAAAUCUGUAGCCGUCGACCCCGAAAAUAUUCUGUUAGUGAAUGAUGAUAAAGGCUUAUUUCAAAGGAAUAAUUCACUUGAAAAUAUAAAGAAAAUUUUGGACAAAAUGUCAGAAUUAAAAGAGACAUUAUGCUGUCUAACUACCACAAAGGUGAAACGUAAACAGAGUGUACAAUUAACAACUGUUGAUAAAAAAAAUAAUAAGCUAUUCAGUCUCUUCAAAAAUAUACUGAACAAUGUAAUUUUUAGGAUUGUAAUAUUGCUUGUUUUUGAUUUUAUUAUUAAUACAGAUAAGUAUGGGUCUUCAAAUUUAUUGUACUAAUAUAUUGUGAUGGAUUAUUAAAAUUUGUAAUUAAAAUUAAAUACAACAUUAUAUACCAAAUAAAGCUUGAA